RNAcentral lists this ribosomal RNA (500 nucleotides) under uncultured bacterium. RNAcentral's name for it is "bacterial SSU rRNA". It matches the Rfam family "Bacterial small subunit ribosomal RNA", at positions 29 to 525 of the family's 1533-position model. The record is from RNAcentral.
AUUGAACGCUGGCGGCAUGCUUUACACAUGCAAGUCGAACGGUAACAGGCCGCAAGGUGCUGACGAGUGGCGAACGGGUGAGUAAUGCAUCGGAACGUGCCCAGUCGUGGGGGAUAACGCAGCGAAAGCUGCGCUAAUACCGCAUACGAUCUAUGGAUGAAAGCGGGGGACCGUAAGGCCUCGCGCGAUUGGAGCGGCCGAUGUCAGAUUAGGUAGUUGGUGGGGUAAAGGCUCACCAAGCCAACGAUCUGUAGCUGGACUGAGAGGACGACCAGCCACACUGGGACUGAGACACGGCCCAGACUCCUACGGGAGGCAGCAGUGGGGAAUUUUGGGACAAUGGGCGCAAGCCUGAUCCAGCAAUGCCGCGUGCAGGAAGAAGGCCCUCGGGUUGUAAACUGCUUUGUACGGAACGAAAAGGCUCUGGUUAAUACCUGGGGCACAUGACGGUACCGUAAGAAUAAGCACCGGCUAACUACGUGCCAGCAGCCGCGGUAAUC